GGCCUUUUGAUUAUAAUUUAAGGUCUGACCUGCCCAAUGAGUUUUUAAAUGGCCGCGGUAUUUUGACCGUGCAAAGGUAGCAUAAUCAUUAGUUUUUUAAUUGAAAGCUGGAAUGAAAGGUCGAAUGAAAAAAUAGCUGUCUCUAUUUAAAUUUUUUAGAAAUUUAUUUUUAAGUUAAAAAGCUUAAAUAUAGUUAGAAGACGAGAAGACCCUAUAGAGUUUUAUUAAUUUCUAUUAUAGGCAUUUUAGUAUUAACUUUUUUAUAAUAAGGAUUAAUUUAAUUGGGGUGAUUGAAAAAUUUAAUAAACUUUUUUUAUAUCUUUACAUUUAUUUAUGAAUAUUUGAUCCUUUUAUGAAGAUUAUAAGAUAAAAUUACCUUAGGGAUAACAGCGUAAUUUUUUUAAAGAGUUCAAAUCGAAAAAAAAGAUUGCGACCUCGAUGUUGGAUUAAAAUAAAAUUUUGGUGUAGAAGCUAAAAUAUUUAGGUCUGUUCGACCUUUAAAAUUUUACAUGAUCUGAGUUUAAACCGGUGUGAGCCAGGUUGGUUUCUAUCUCUAUUAAAUUUUAAUAUCUUAGUACGAAAGGACCAGAUAUUUAAUUAAAAAUUUUAUUUAUAGAAUAAAAUU
This 625-nucleotide ribosomal RNA is filed under the name Antarctobius falklandicus. RNAcentral's name for it is "partial 16S ribosomal RNA". It matches the Rfam family "Bacterial large subunit ribosomal RNA", at positions 1819 to 2757 of the family's 2925-position model. Lineage: Eukaryota; Metazoa; Arthropoda; Insecta; Coleoptera; Curculionidae. The record is from RNAcentral.